GGAAAAAGCUGGCGGCGUGCCUAUACAUGCAGUCGAGCGGACAGAUGGGGGCUUGGUCCCUUUUGUUUUCGCGGGGGGGGGGUGUAUAACGUGUGUAUCCCCUACCUAUAACUGGGGUAUCUCUUCGGAAACCCGGAUCUUAUACCGGAUAUCCUAUUGCCCCGCGGGUCUCGGUUGAGAAAGGGUUUUUUGUGGCCCUUUAUAAUGGGACCCCCGCCCAAUUACUUAUUUGGGGGGGAAUGGGUUUACCAGGGCACCAAUCCUUACCCAACCUGAAAGGUGGACCGCCCCCCUGGGACUGAAAACCCGGCCCAAAUCCUUACGGAAGGCACCAUAAGGAAUCCUUCCGCAUGGACCAAAAUCCUGACGAACCACCGCCGCUUGAUUGAUAAAGGUCUUCGAAUCGUAGCUUCUGUUAUCAGGAAGAACCAGUUGUAUAGUUACUGGUCCACAUCUGGCCGUAACUAGAUCGGAGGCAACGCUAACUUACUUGCAACCAGCCGCGUAAUUACUAAGUUGCCAGCCGUGAUCGAUAAUGCGGUAGCGUCGCGAAGCCGUCUAGUCCUAAUGUGAGCCACGCUCACGUGAGUCAUGACUGAACUGAUGCAGAGAGAGUGAUCAUGGACGUGAUGCUAAAGAGAGACACAUGCGAGCGACCUCUGUCGUACUGAGCUGAUAUGAAGCUGGGAUGACAGAUAGAUAUUGUAGUCACGCGUAACCAUGAUGCUAAUGUAGGUUCGCUAGUGCUGAACUAACGAAUAAGCACUCCCCUGGGGAAUACAACGAAGAUUGAAACUAAAGGAUUGACGGGGACCGCCCAGCUGGACCAUGGUUAAUCCGACACCGGGAACCCUCCGGGG
RNAcentral lists this ribosomal RNA (860 nucleotides) under Bacillus sp. HPC102. RNAcentral describes it as "partial 16S ribosomal RNA". The stretch from base 8 to 524 matches the Rfam family "Bacterial small subunit ribosomal RNA", at positions 35 to 539 of the family's 1533-position model. Lineage: Bacteria; Bacillati; Bacillota; Bacilli; Caryophanales; Bacillaceae. The record is from RNAcentral.